GACGUAGGGCGCGAGCGUUGUCCGGAUUUAUUGGGCGUAAAGAGCUCGUAGGCGGCUCAUUGCGUCAACCGUGAAAACCUGCCGCUCAACGGUAGGCUUGCGGUUGAUACGGGUGGGCUGGAGUUCGGUAGGGGAGACUGGAAUUCCUGGUGUAGCGGUGAAAUGCGCAGAUAUCAGGAGGAACACCGGUGGCGAAGGCGGGUCUCUGGGCCGAUACUGACGCUGAGACACGAAAGCGUGGGGAGCAAACAGG
RNAcentral lists this ribosomal RNA (253 nucleotides) under uncultured bacterium. RNAcentral describes it as "partial 16S ribosomal RNA". It matches the Rfam family "Bacterial small subunit ribosomal RNA", at positions 524 to 776 of the family's 1533-position model. The record is from RNAcentral.